CCUACGGGUGGCUGCAGUGGGGAAUAUUGGACAAUGGGGGGAACCCUGAUCCAGCCAUGCCGCGUGUGUGAAGAAGGCCCUCGGGUUGUAAAGCACUUUCAGUGAGGAAGAACGCCUGGUGGUUAAUACCCAUCAGGAAAGACAUCACUCACAGAAGAAGCACCGGCUAACUCCGUGCCAGCAGCCGCGGUAAUACGGAGGGUGCGAGCGUUAAUCGGAAUUACUGGGCGUAAAGCGCGCGUAGGUGGCUUGAUAAGCCGGUUGUGAAAGCCCCGGGCUCAACCUGGGAACGGCAUCCGGAACUGUCAAGCUAGAGUGCAGGAGAGGAAGGUAGAAUUCCCGGUGUAGCGGUGAAAUGCGUAGAGAUCGGGAGGAAUACCAGUGGCGAAGGCGGCCUUCUGGACUGACACUGACACUGAGGUGCGAAAGCGUGCGUAGCAAACAGGAUUAGAUACCCUAGUAGUC
This 465-nucleotide ribosomal RNA is filed under the name Vreelandella stevensii. Its description in RNAcentral is "partial 16S ribosomal RNA". It matches the Rfam family "Bacterial small subunit ribosomal RNA", at positions 338 to 795 of the family's 1533-position model. Lineage: Bacteria; Pseudomonadati; Pseudomonadota; Gammaproteobacteria; Oceanospirillales; Halomonadaceae. The record is from RNAcentral.